RNAcentral lists this long non-coding RNA (272 nucleotides) under Mus musculus (house mouse). Its description in RNAcentral is "predicted gene, 49008". RNAcentral also lists the same sequence under 1 other name. The record is from RNAcentral. Lineage: Eukaryota; Metazoa; Chordata; Mammalia; Rodentia; Muridae.
AACAGCACCAGAAGGCAGCGAGCCAUAGCCACUCUCCAUGGAAACUGCCUUUAUAUAAACUCUUCACAUCUUCAGUAUGAGAUGUGAGACAGUCAGCUUAUUCUACUUAACUAACAACGUCUGGGACCCAAGAAGUCCAUCUGACUUACAUCCCCACCAGCUCCCAGACCUGACGUCUUUCCAGUUGUAAGCAAAGGUUUCCUUGUCACAGAAGUGCUUAUAAUUUAACUAUUAACAAAAUUAAAACCCAAAUCAGUGGUUCUCAAAGAUCA